GAUGAAGAACGUAGCGAAAUGCGAUACUUGGUGUGAAUUGCAGAAUCCCGUGAACCAUCGAGUCUUUGAACGCAAGUUGCGCCCGAAGCCAUCAUGUUGAGGGCACGUCUGCCUGGGCGUCACAUAUCGUUGCCCAAUGCCUAUUGCAGUGCAAUAGGAAUUUCUAGGGCGAAUGAUGGCUUCCCGUGAGCGUUGUUGCCUCGCGGUUGGUUGAAAAUCGAGUCCUUGGUAGGGUGUGCCAUGGUAGAUGGUGGUCGAGUUAGAACGAUACCGAUCAUGUGCAUGCUCCCCAAAAUAUGGCCUCUAUGACCCACACGCGUCUUUUGACGCUCAUGACGAGACCUCAGGUCAGGCGGGGCUACCCGCUGAAUUUAAGCAUAUCAAUAAGCGGAGGA
This 395-nucleotide unclassified non-coding RNA is filed under the name soil metagenome. RNAcentral's name for it is "partial contains 5.8S ribosomal RNA, internal transcribed spacer 2, and large subunit ribosomal RNA". The stretch from base 1 to 122 matches the Rfam family "5.8S ribosomal RNA", at positions 35 to 154 of the family's 154-position model. The record is from RNAcentral.